CCGAGUGAGGGCGCCCCGGCGCCCGACCUCCCAACCCUUUGUCGAACUUACCUUGUUGCCUCGGGGCGCGCCCUUCGCGGGCGGCCCCAGAGGACCAACCAUCAAAACCCUGCGUCCCUGCGUCGGAGUACCUUUGAUAAAUCAAUCA
Molecule: unclassified non-coding RNA, 148 nt
Filed under: uncultured fungus
Lineage: Eukaryota; Fungi
Description: sequence contains ITS1, 5.8S rRNA gene
Source: RNAcentral